CCUGCUGGUCAGGAGUGGAUACUG
RNAcentral lists this microRNA (24 nucleotides) under Homo sapiens (human). Its description in RNAcentral is "hsa-miR-3692-5p". Lineage: Eukaryota; Metazoa; Chordata; Mammalia; Primates; Hominidae. The record is from miRBase by way of RNAcentral.